This 39-nucleotide ribosomal RNA is filed under the name Telipogon butcheri. Its description in RNAcentral is "partial 26S ribosomal RNA". The record is from RNAcentral. Lineage: Eukaryota; Viridiplantae; Streptophyta; Magnoliopsida; Asparagales; Orchidaceae.
GUGACCCCAGUAUGGGCGAGGCCACCCGCUGAGUUUAAG